GACGAACGCUGGCGGCGUGCUUAACACAUGCAAGUCGAACGGAGUGGCGAACGGGUGAGUAACACGUGGGUGACCUGCCCUGCACUCCGGGAUAAGCCUGGGAAACUCGGUUUAAUACCGGCUAGUGUGGGAUGGGCCCGCGGCCUAUCAGCUUGUUGGUGGGGUAAUGGCCUACCAAGGCGGCGACGGGUAGCCGGCCUGAGAGGGUGGACGGCCACAUUGGGACUAAGCCACGUCCCAGGCCGCUACGGUAGGCAGCAGUGGGGAGUAUGGCACAAUGGGCAGAGGCCAGGUGCAGGGACGCCGGGUGGGAGAUGACGGCCUACGGGUUGGGAAGGCGUUUCGCCAUCGACGCGGAGGAUGGGGAGGAAGCAACGGCUAACGACGUGCCAGCAGCCGCGGUAAUAC
RNAcentral lists this ribosomal RNA (408 nucleotides) under uncultured bacterium. RNAcentral's name for it is "partial 16S ribosomal RNA". It matches the Rfam family "Bacterial small subunit ribosomal RNA", at positions 28 to 526 of the family's 1533-position model. The record is from RNAcentral.